This 200-nucleotide unclassified non-coding RNA is filed under the name Hevea brasiliensis (rubber tree). The record is from RNAcentral. Lineage: Eukaryota; Viridiplantae; Streptophyta; Magnoliopsida; Malpighiales; Euphorbiaceae.
AGUGAAUUGUGUAACCCUCCACUGCUUUUGUUUUUCCCCAGCCAUAUAUCUCCAAGUACAGCCUCUUCCUCUGCAUCAGGUGCAACAAAAGACAAUGGCUUAAUAGCAACUUCUGUUGUUACUGAGGGUACAUUCUCCAUCCCAUCAGGGAUGGUAUUAAAACUUUGAAGAGUUUGUUGCCUUCGGUAAAUGUCCAGAAA